CACGUAGGGCGCGAGCGUUGUCCGGAAUUAUUGGGCGUAAAGAGCUCGUAGGCGGUCUGUCGCGUCGGCUGUGAAAUCCCGGGGCUCAACCCCGGGCCUGCAGUCGAUACGGGCAGACUAGAGUGCGGUAGGGGAGACUGGAAUUCCUGGUGUAGCGGUGAAAUGCGCAGAUAUCAGGAGGAACACCGGUGGCGAAGGCGGGUCUCUGGGCCGUAACUGACGCUGAGGAGCGAAAGCGUGGGGAGCAAACAGG
Molecule: ribosomal RNA, 253 nt
Filed under: uncultured bacterium
Lineage: Bacteria
Description: partial 16S ribosomal RNA
Rfam family: Bacterial small subunit ribosomal RNA
Source: RNAcentral